RNAcentral lists this unclassified non-coding RNA (346 nucleotides) under uncultured fungus. Its description in RNAcentral is "partial contains 5.8S ribosomal RNA and internal transcribed spacer 2". The stretch from base 1 to 133 matches the Rfam family "5.8S ribosomal RNA", at positions 22 to 154 of the family's 154-position model. The record is from RNAcentral. Lineage: Eukaryota; Fungi.
UGGUUCUGGCAUCGAUGAAGAACGCAGCGAAAUGCGAUAAGUAAUGUGAAUUGCAGAAUUCAGUGAAUCAUCGAAUCUUUGAACGCACAUUGCGCCCGCCAGUAUUCUGGCGGGCAUGCCUGUCCGAGCGUCAUUUCAACCCUCGAACCCCCCCCGGGGGGAUCGGUGUUGGGGACCGGCCUCCGCCCUCGCUGGCGGUCGCCGCCCCCGAAAUACAGUGGCGGUCUCGCCGCAGCCUCCUCUGCGCAGUAGUUUGCACACUCGCACCGGAGAGCGGCGCGUCCAAGCCGUAAACCACCCAAACUUAUGAAAGGUUGACCUCGGAUCAGGUAGGAAUACCCGCUGA